UUGAUUCUUAUAUUAUCAAUCAGACAAAAAAGACAUGAGAUCCGCAUAAAGGCGGCGCCCGCCCCAAGUCAAGACAGGGGGUGAGGGGCACCGAAGCACAUUCUCUCUGAAUGGUCCACAGGUUUGAUGGGGUUUGAAGGUACAGAGACCAUUCGUUAAUGAUCCCUCCGCAGGUUCACCUACGGAGA
Molecule: unclassified non-coding RNA, 188 nt
Filed under: uncultured fungus
Lineage: Eukaryota; Fungi
Description: sequence contains ITS1
Source: RNAcentral